Molecule: long non-coding RNA, 11227 nt
Organism: Lagopus muta (rock ptarmigan)
Lineage: Eukaryota; Metazoa; Chordata; Aves; Galliformes; Phasianidae
Exons: 2
Source: RefSeq, a predicted model, not a curated record
GGUCCAUGAGUCCCAGAACAGCCAUCCCACAUGGUGCAGCCAUUGUCUUGCUGUAGAAGCAGCUCAUUGCCCAGCUGGAAAAGCAGCUGCAGGCUGAGAGCGAGGAGAUUGAGGUGCUGCGCCAGGAAAAACAGCGCCUGCAAGAGGAGCUGGAGGAGCUGGAGAUGGAGAAUGCCUGCUGAGUGGGACUGGGCCCUGCAGCCCAUGCCUGCACCUGGGGCAACAAUAGGGCUGCUGGGCUUUGGGCUCGGCUUCCGUUUGGCAUGUGGCGUGACGGAGCAGCCCCAUCCCAGCCCCCUGGGGUGGGCACACACUGCUGGCGAGCCCCCGCGGUGACAGAGGCCGCCUGUGCCACUGCACUGCCAGGCUCCCACUGUCCUGCAUGAGCCCUGGCUGUGCAGCAGGGCCUGACCACCAUCCCUGCCCCGUGUUCACCUGCGGGAGAAGAAGGAGCAGGUGAGGAGACGAGGGCUCGCCUUCUGGAUGCAGUGAGUGUCCCCUAAUUGCCCCGUGCCCAGCUGCCAGCAGCCGGGCUCCCGGCAGGGGGCUGAUGGCCUGGACCACCACUGCCACCAGCAGGGCUCAAAACAAAAUGCUAAGAACAAUAUAUCUAAAACAAAGCUAUUUCUACUCUUGGAUUUUAAACACUUGUGAUUUGUGAGUCCAUUUUGGACUUUGUUUUGUUGUAAAAGGGGCUUAUUUAGCACUGUGAUCCUAUCAAGGCACUUCCAGCUCAGAUAACGAGACCUUCCUCCAGUGCUUCUAUCCUUUGAUGUAAUAAAUACACACUCUGUUACUCUGUUUGACAGAGGAGCCCGGGAAGACAUUGAAGAAGUUGAAGUAGCUUUGGAGAUGGAGUGCCUUAACUUCUUUCGUGUUACAUUGACCAAUUUUUUCAGAGACUGUGGGUAGUAUUUGUGAAAUUUUUUCAAAAUAAAAAGAAGUCCGAAAAUAAAUCCAGAGGUAUUAUUUAGUGAAAUACAAGUUUAAAUUAACAUCUCUAUAUCUUUCUACCUCUAUCAUCAUUCCACUGGUAUUUAUUUGUAAUAUGGUACCCUUGUCUCCCUAAUACAGGAGGGAGAGAAGGUUCUUUCAAUAUACAUAUGCCUGAUGGCGAGAUUAGGGGACGAUGGGUGAAAUGUUAGCCCAACCAGAUUACUACAAAUCCUAGUUGUUGAAGGAGAUGGGGAAGGGAAGGUGGGUGAUAAAGACAGGAAAUAAAAGCAAGGAGUCUUUGCAGAAAGCAGGAGAGAGAUAGUCACCACUAGGUUUGGUUCAUAGUUCAGACACUGAUCUUCAGAAGUGACGGGUUGUCAAGGGUUGUUGUUUGGUUGAUGAUGACAACAGUGGCAGCAGUACCAACUUCUAUACAUAAGUCCAAAGUGAUCGAGUCAGCUCUCUUUGGAGUGGCAGCUUCUGGCUUUGGGAUCUCAGCAGAAACUCCUUUGUUCCCAUCUUCCACACCUUGUCAGCAAAGAAGAGGGAGCUGGGAGGUGCUCACCUGCAUCCUGUUUUUCACAGUAUGUGAUGGUAUAAUUCCCCAGUCUCCCACACGAAGCUGGAGUUAUUUGCUCACAGGCCAGAUCUUCUGCUAGUAAAAGCUCCUGAGAACUCUCUUCUGAAGGCAAAGAGUUCCAAAGGAAAUGCUUUCAAAUGUCCACAAAGUUAUGUUGAUUGCCACACGGUGACACUCAUCAGUCACCUCCUGGAUAAGUCAGAGUCUUAUCCCAAAAAAUACCUCAAAAAGCAAGCCUGGAGCCAAGAAAAAAAAGGGUUCAGACCCUUGUGUAUUGCCAUACUUAACAAGAAUACUCCUGCAUAAUUGUCAAUCACUGAUAGUAUUCCUGUUUUAUGUACUAACUAGAUGACAGAACUCUUGCAUAGAAUAGUAGUAUUAAAGUGCAAAGUCAGACACAUCAAUAUUUGCAAAUGCUAGAUUUAAUAUUUCCCAAUGAAAUGUUAUUCAUGUGCUAUUGAGGAUCCAUUAUUGUACAGCCUUGAAUCAUAUGGUCACUUGCUAUUUUUUGUCAAGUCUUCAUCUUAGGUACGGAAUGUAAGUCGCUUACUUAGUCAGCUUUUACAUUUUUCUGUUCUGUGAACAGCCCGAUACCUUAUUUACCGCAUAGUAUUCCAACUGUGCUUUGAAAACAGAAUAAUCAUUGAAUCACCAAGGUUGGAAAAGACCUAAAAGAUCAUCCAGUCCAACUGUUCACCUAUUCCCAAUAGCUCCCACUAAACCACGUCCCUCAACACAACAUCCAGCCUUUCCUUGAACACCCCCAGGCUCGGUGACUCCACCACCUCCCUGGGCAUCCAUUCCAGUGCCUGACCACCCUUUCUGAAAAGUAAUACUUCCUGAUGUCCAGCCUGAAUCUCCCCUGCCGUAGCUUGAAGCUGUUCCCUCUGGUCCUAUCACUAAUGACACGAGAGAAGAGGCCGACCCCCAGCUCACUACAACCUCCCUUCAGGAAGUUAUAGAGAGCAAUGAGGUCUCCCCUGAGCCUCCUCUUCUCCAGGCUGAACGUUCCCAGCUCCUUCAGCCUCCCCUCAUACGGCCUGUGUUCCAGACCCCUCACCAGCUUUGUUGCCCUCCUCUGAACGCGUUCCAGGGCCUCAAUGUCUUUCUUGCAGUGAUGGGCCCAAAACUGGACACGGUACUCGAGGUGCGGCCUCACCAGUGCUGAGUACAGGGGAACUCUCUGUUCCUGCUUGCAACGCUGUUUCUGAUGCAGGCCAGGAUGCCAUUGGCCUUCUUGGCCACCUGGGCACACUGUCGGCUCAUGUUGAGCCGAGCAUCAAUCAAUACCCCCAGGUCCAUUUCCUCUACACAGUCCUCCAGCCACACCGCCCCAAGCCUGCAGCGUCGCCUGGGGUUGUUUGUAGCCGAAGUGCAGGACCCGGCAUUUGGCCUUGUUGAAACUCAUCCCAUUGGCUUCAGCCCAGCUCUCCCGCCUGUCCAGAUCUCUCUGUAGGGCCUCGCUACCCCCAGGCAGAUCCACACUUCCAGCCAAUUUGGUGUCAUCUGCGAAUUUACUGAGGGUGCACUCGAUGCCCUCAUCCAGGUCAUCAAUAAAGAUAUUGAAGAGGACAGGCCCCAGCACCGACCCCUGCGGAACACCACUCACGACCGGUCGCCAGCUGGAUUUAACUCCAUUCACCACCACUCUCUGAGCCCGGCCCUUCAGCCAGCUCCUCACCCAGCCAAGAGUGUACCCAUCCAAGCCUCGGGCUGCCAGCUUCUGCAGGAGAAUGCUGUGGGAGACAGUGUCAAAGGCUUUGCUGAAGUCUAGGUAGACCACAUCAACAGCCUUUCCCUCAUCCACCAGAUGGGUCACUAGAUCAUAGAAGGAGAUCAGGUUGGUCAAACAGGACCUGCCCUUCACGAACCCGUGCUGGCUAGGCCUGAUCCCCCCCCCGGUCACCCCGCACAUGCCGCAUGGUCUCCCUCAAGACAAUCUGCUCCAUCACCUUCCCUGGAGUAGGGGAAAAAUGCUUACCUGCUGAGGUACCUACUUUGUUCCCCAUAUCUGCCCAUUUAUAGCUUACUAAUAGCGAUAGAUGCUAAAAAUGUCUCUGUGUGAGAUCUGAGAAGUGAAGAGAGAGGAUGAAUUUAUCUUCAGGGAAGAAAAGAAAAAAGACAUCAUGCAUGAAAUAAGGUAUCAGACCUGCUUUGUGUAUUACCUUUUGAGACUGUGUCUUUCUAAUGAAGGAUCCUAGCAGAGACUGCAGAAAUGCAAGAAAGACUACUCAGAGUGGCAGCUGUUUCAUCUGCAGGAGAUGGAUUGGGUUCUUUCUCUGGGUCCAUGGGCCAGGGAUCUAGUGGGUUGUCUGACCCAUCCCAGUGAUUAUUUAAGGUUGCACCAGAAUGUUUUUAACUCAGGACACUUGACUCAGAUGUCUCUCACUCAGAGCACGGGAAAAAUGGUGCAGAGUGAAAGCAUGAAGGAAAUGAAAGAGCAGCUACAGGUGUGCAACGGCUCCUUUGUGUAUUUGUCCAUAUCAUAUUCAUACGAAGGCUGCAUCUCUUCUUUCACUCAUACUGCCUUGUAACAGUUUUCUGAUGCUAAUCCUAAAAGCAUUCUAAUCUUUUAUUGAUCAUCUGACACCUAUAGCUCAUCUCAUUACUCUUCAAAAAUCCUGCUAUCAACUUAGCCUAUUUCAGUAAAAAUGCACAUGUAUUUCACAACUGUCACCAGCACACACUCCUUUUGUUGAUGAAUUCACUUUGAAAUGCUUUUUUUCAUGUCUGUUCUUUUGACCUUUUAAAGACCUGCAAUAACAUCGGUAAUUUCAAAAUUUAGUAAGAUUUAUUUUUCCUUACAGAUCACUGAUUUGACAAAACAAUGGCUUAAAGGACCUUCCAUAAUUUCACAGGCAAAUAUCGGCAACUCAGUGUGGAAAGGCAGUUUGGACAACCAUGUAGCUCUCAGCUAUCUUUGGGAAUCUUUCAGACUUUGGAGGCAAGAGAGAUGUCCUCCUUGGAGACAUUUUCUUUGUUUCUCAUUUGGUUUCUAGUGAAGAAGCAAUGGAAAUGGUCUUUUUAUCACAUCUUCAAGCAUAGCAAGGAUUAUGAUUUUUUUCUGUCAACAUGGAUGGCAAUCUUUUACUCUUUACUAUGGGUGUAGAUAAAAUGUCUUGAAUGGGAGGCCUUAAUCAUUUACAGAAGAAUGUUUUCUUAUGAGCACAGUGGAUAGAAUCACCUUGGAUUUGGUGCCCACUUUUAUGCAAUUUUCCCUCUACAGCAACAAAAUUUGGUCCCUGCUAAAACAUUCUAUGUUGGUUUUCCUUGUAUUCUUUCUCAUUUAGCUCUCCCACUGUUACUUCAGUGCUUUCUUCCCUUCCCAUCCCUGUACUUCUCCUUGAUUUCUGAUCUCCACUCCAGAAAGACAUAAUAGAACUGGAAAUAAUUCCGAUAAAAACAAACAAACAAACAAGCAAACAAACAAGCAAACAAAAAACACCAAAAAAAUGGAACGAAUAAAGGCCGAAGAAUUAUAAAAUUACAGAAUGGUAGGGUUUGAAAAGGGACUUCUGGAGCCCAUCUGCUCCAAGCCCCCUGAUAAAGCAAGUUCCCUCCAGGAUGUCUUCACAAGCAGUUAAUAAAGGACUUUUCAGCUUGCAAAAUACAUGGUUUAAAUGCAAUAUUAUAGAGCUCUAUUUAAAAUACAAAUAAUUGAGAAAAGAUCAAUAGGAAAUUAUGGUUCACUGUAUUUUCCAACACCAGAACUGUGGUACGUCAAAUAAAACUAGACAACGGUAGCUAUGAAAUAACUAGAAAGUGACAGCUUUGGAAUAAAUAAGAAGAGGUGACUCCUCAUCCUGAACGCAAUUAAAUUGGGGAAUUUCUUGAAGGAGAAGGAGGGAAAGCAAUGGAAUAAAUAUCUGGGAAACUUUUGUCUCAGGAAAUUCUUAACCUAUAUAUGAAUGAAAAUCUCAUGUAAAUAUAUCGAAAUAUCAUGGAGAAGUAUUACUACCCAUUUAACUUGUUCUUACAGCCUUACCUACCGACCUACUACUGGUUCUUACCUGAGGAAAGGCUAAAUGUAUCUUUGUUUUUGGUUUGGCUGUUUUUUCAUCUUGCAGAUAGUCUUGUAGACGUGGUGUGAGGCUGUCAGAUUGAUUGAUUGAGUACAGUCUCAAUCAAGCAUGUAGUUUUGUUCUACUUUUCUCAUUGCGUCAGUAGGCAGCUCCUCAACUUGUAAGUUUCAGGUAACCUUCUUGGAAUUCAUACUGUCUGAAGAAGGCUUAGUAGAAAGAGGUUUGAGUUGUAAUGCAUUCAGGUUAUCAACUUUUGCAGCUGACUCGGUUUCUUGGAGUUUCUGAUAUCUUUGGCAAGUUUGAUCCAAAUCAUGCAUGGGAACAAAAAGAAAAAGGGAAAAGGGAAAAAGGGAAAAAGGGAAAAAGGGAAAAAGGGAAAAAGGGAAAAAAGGGAAAAAGGGAAAAAGGGAAAAAGGGAAAAAAGGGAAAAAGGGAAAAAGGGAAAAAAGGGAAAAAGGGAAAAAGGGAAAAAGGGAAAAAGGGAAAAAGGGAAAAAGGGAAAAAAGGGAAAAAGGGAAAAAGGGAAAAAGGGAAAAAGGGAAAAAGGGAAAAAGGGAAAAAUUCUCGAAGGCAUUCAUUCACAGAAAUAUGUUCUUCUCCCUCAUGUAUGACAUUUUCUCCCAGAAAUACCAGUUUUCUCACUUUUUCUUCCAGAAACACGAUUCUAUUCCCCUAAAUAUGUUUUUUUCACCAAAAAACGAUGACAUUUCCUCUCAGUACUCCAUGUUCUCUUAAAAAUACAUGCUACGCUCUCCCUGAAAUACUAGCAUUCUCUCAAAUAUACCACGUUUUCCAACCAAAUAUGUGAUAAUCUCCAAGAAAUACCAGUUUUCUUGACAAUAACUUCCAUUUUCUCCAAAAAAUGCAGACUUCAACUGUUCAAUAGGACAUUUUCCACCAAAAAUAGGAUACAUUCUCCCCAAAGGAACAGUUUUCUCUCAUGCAUAUUCCAUUUCCUCCCAGAAAUACCACAUUUCAACCCUAAAGACCACAUUGUCAUCCAAAAUAUUUUGGAUAUUUUCUCCCAGAAACACCAGUGUCAUCCCAACUUGAUGACAUCUUGGACCAGCAAUACCACUUUUCUCUCCCUAAUAUUACAGUUUCCUCCAAAAAUAGAUCUUCUUCCAGACUUAUCAGCAUUCUCUCCAACAGAUGACAUUUCCCCCCAGAAAGAAGACGUUUUCUCCCUGAAAUACCAGCUUUCAAAGCAAUACCUCCAAUUUCCCCCCAGUAGACUACUUUGCACACCUUCAUAUGACACUUACUCCCAACAAUACGGCAUUUAUCACAGAAAUGCCACUUGACUCCCAAAUGUGGGACAUUUCCUGCCAGAAAUACCACUUGGCUCUGCAACAGAGGAUGUUUUCUCCCAGAAAUACCAGCUUUCUCCCAAAUAGAUGAUCACCCCUCCCCCACUUCCCCAAAAUAUGAUACUGUCUCCUGGGAAUACCACUUUUCUUAGAAAUACCUCAGGCCUUCUCCAAACAAUACGACAACACGACAAUCCUCAAGGUGACAUCUUCUCCCCAAAAGAUGACAUUUUCUCCCAGAAAUGCCAGUUCCCCCCCCAGGUACCGCAUUUUCUUCCAAAAAUAAGACAUUCUCUCCCCGAAAUCAUGGCUUGCUCCAAUAAAAUGACAUUAUCUCCCAGAAAUACCAGUUUUCGCCCAAACAUAGGACAGUUUCGAUCAUAAGUAUCGCAUUUCAACCUGAAAGAGGACACUUUCUUCCCAACAUACGGUAUUUCCUCCCAGAAAUCCCACCCUUCACCCAAAUACAUGGCAUUUUCUCCCACAAGUACUACUUUUCCAUCAAAAAUAAGACACUUUCUCCCCCAACAAGGAUCUUUUCUCCCUGAAAUACCAGUCUUCUCCCCAAAGAGAUGACGUUUCCAACCAGAAAUACAGGUUUUCUUCAGUACACUUCAUGUUUCAUCCACAAAAUACUAUGUGACAGUAGCAAAUGUGACAUUUUCCAACAAAAAUAUGAUAUUUCCUCCCAGAAAUACCAGCUUCCUCGCAAUUAUGUGAUCUUUUCUGCAUAAAGAAGACAGUUUCUCCAGUAAUACCUCACAUUUCAUCUCAGGAGCACUACUUUACACUCCUCAAUAUCAUGUUUACUCCCAUCAAAAUGACAUUUGAUCACAGAUAUUCCAGUUGUCUAACAAAGAUGGGACAUAUUCCCCCGGAAAUACCAGCUUAUUUUUUAAAAUGCGGCAUUUUCUCCCAAAAAUCCCAGCUUGCUCACCAAUAGAUGUCAUUUUCCAACAAAGCAUGCUGUCUUCUCCCAGAAAUGGCAGUUUUCUGAGAAAUACCUUCCAUUUUCUCUCAAAAGUACUACCUUACACUCCUGAAGAGGACAUUUUCUCCCAUAUAGACCCUAUUUGCUCCCCAAAGGACCGGUUUGCACUCCAAAAAGAAGACAGUUGCUCUCAAAUAGAAGACAUUCCUUCCCAGAAUUUCCCCCUUUUCUCCAACAAGUAGGCCAUUUUCUCACAGAAAUACCACAUUUCAGUUGGAAAGCUGACCUUUUCUUCCAAAAGUAGGAUAUUUUCUCCCAGAAAUACCCAUUUUCUUACAACUACCACAGGUUUUCUCCCCAAAAUAUCAGAGGACAAGGCCAAAUUUUGCACUUGCAACCAAGAAUAGGACAUUUUCUCACAGAAAUACUACUCUUCUCCCACAUAUAGGAGAUUGUCUCCAAACUGGAUGGCGUUUCUGGUAAGAAAUACCACUUUUCUUCCCUGAACAGGACAUUCUCUCCCAGAAAAAUAGAGUACUCUUAGAAAUACUUCCCAUUUGUUUUCUUUCCUAGCUCUCUCCCCUUUUCCAUUUUGCUUUUUAAACCUGAAAUACUUUUGUUUACCUUCCAUUCCAAUUUCACUAAAAUUCAGUCUACUAAAUACAACUUCUGCAAUAUCCUGAGUGUGAAAAGAAAUCAGGCGAUGUAAAAUAUAUGCCUUCAGAACCUUCGUUUCUCUGACAGACUAUACCUUUCUAUCCCAAGUGAAUUUGAAAAGAAUGAAAAGCAAGUUAUAGCAAAAUAAAUCUAAAACAAUGAAACAAAUGGAAAAGAUAAUAGCCAUGGAAGUGAACAGGGCACGCCAAGAAAGAAUCAAUCCAUUCUCCCUGAGCAAAGCUGACAGUGGGAUGUGAUCUUCUAGAAUGAAAAGAUGUGCUCAAUUUUUUUAACGAAAGAUGCAGAAGAAGAAUGUGCAGCAAAAAUAAUCAUAAUAAUUAGACAUCUCAGAAACAUAGCCUACAAGCAAAGUCUGGAAGUUACAGGCAUGGGAAUGCUAAAAGGUUGUAUGUGAGCAGUCAUCAAAUAAGUAGUAGGAUGUAAAAAGCAAGAAAAAAUAUCUUACCAUGAGCUAAACUGAAUAGCCGUAGUGACUGACAAUGCUAAAAGGUUAAAAAAGCUGAAACAGAGCACUCAGUGUUUCUUAGUGGUUGCUGAGUUUAUCUUUUUACGUAUCUAUUCAUUUCUCAUAAUAACCAGCACAACUGGAGUGGUUUUGCUUCAAUUUCCUGCUUUAAAACUGUCUGAUCUCAGGUUUUAGCAUACUGUGUAUUCUAUUUAGAAAAGUCUGAUGAGCAGAUUCACAUCUGUUUAAUACAUGUAAAAUACACGUAAAAUGCAGUUUUACUCAACACAUAGUAUAAGAAAAGCUCAACGUUCCUACCUAUGAUGAAGAUAGGAUAUUAAAGAAUUGCUGUGUAUGAACAGUAUUCGUAUGGUGAAAUUUCUCUAGUAUAGACUUAGGUUUUACUUCUGCGUCCCAUUACUCUGCUUACCAUAAAGAAACACUGUUCAGAUAAGUAGCAGCCAUAAUAUUCUGACUACUUUAGAAUAUUCAGAAUUUUUUAAUCACCAGACAGUAACUCACUUCAUCUUUGACAGGAUACACUGGCAGUAGGCUCACAGAAGUAUGAGACUUGGUGAGCAUUAUUAAUUUGAAGAUAUUUGUUUAUUCUGAAAAUGGCCCAGGUUGGAAGGGACCUCAAGAAUCAUUUCUUGCAAUACCAAUUCUUAACAGCAAUUUUACAAUGGAGCAUGAAAACAAAUCCGCUCAAAAUCAAGCCUGGAAUGACACAGCUGGAGAGUUUUCAGGAAACACAGCAGUGAAAGAUAACAUCAAAUAAAUAACCCAACACAGCCACAUUAUUUAAAUUGGCCUUGAAAGCUAUCAGUGUCUAACUACUGUUAUUUUAGAGUUGUGGAUCUCAUUAGCAGCCUCCAAUUUACUCAGCCAGCCGUUAUAAACCUUAGUUUUUCAUAAUUGCACACAGGCCAAUCCAAAAGUAAUGCCUUCUGUUUUUAUAAAGCUGGCCCACAACAUCACAGGUGGAUGCUGGUGGGAUGACAGCAGAGGUUGAACCUUCCUGCCAGCAUUCAGUUACAUUCUGCAGCCAUGCGGCAGAUGGCAGCAGAGGGCCAGAAUGACAGCACAGCACCUGACAUGGAAGUGCUCAUGGAGCACAGGGUGUCCCUGAACUCCUCCACACUGAAAAAAAAUCACACCCACUGACAUCCAUCAAUGCCUGCAGAAUAUUUAUGAAGCCCAACACGUGGAUGUGAGCACAGUGAGGCUUCAGCAGUGGCAACAGCAAUGCAAGGCGAGCCACCCAGACAGCCAAAUGGAUUUAUUUUAAUUAUCAUUUCUUUUUAAACAAGCACAGCAUGCAGGCUCAACACUGGAGGGAAAGGAAAAAAAAAAAGAAAAAGAAAAGGAUAGUUAAUGGUGGUGACCAUGCUAAAAAACAGAGUUUUGUUGAGAGAGCUGAGAAUUCACUUUGUGUAUCUCUUAUCAUUUCUGUGGAAAUAAAUAGGAGGCAUUCCUUUCAGAGCAAUCUACGUACCUCAAUGAGCCACCAUCCUAAUAAUGCAGUAAUACUAAUAAUAGGAACAGAAAAAAACAGACUCUCAGAAUAUCUGUUGUGGGGAUGGAACAACAAAACCAACACUGCAGUCAGCUGCAGUUAUUCCCUGGGAAGGAACUGAUGCCAGCAGAAAGGUCACGACCACUUCCGACACUCAAACCAUAGCAGCAUGUCAGAGCACGCAGCCUUGGAAUAAACCCCAAGGAUAAACCAAAUAGACUGGGAGGUACCAACCUUACAAAUUCACUGUACCGCUGUGUCGUAUGGUAAGAAGAAAAGCAGGAUGUUUGAGACUUUGUCAGGCGCAGAACCUCCAGCACUGGAGGCGAGCAGUUCUGAGUUCUCGGUAUCUGGUCGUAAUUUGCAUGCAUGCACAAGAAGCAGUGCAACUCAAUUUACAAGAGCAACCAAAUGCAUUCAAGGCAUACUUACAAAAGACUCUGAGGUAGAAAGCUGCUCGCUGAGGCGAAGAUCAGAAAUGAGGCAGGGGAAGCCUGACAGAUUGAGAGCGAUUAAGUGUCUGAAUAAAGAAAGGAACAGAAAGAACAGACAUUGCUGGAAUCUAUCAGAUGCCAAUCUUCAUUUGAAAAACAUCCUGUACAUGUAGAAGCAACACAGGAUCAACCGGCAACUAUUUAUCCCACUAUCUCAGUGAUGAUUGCUAUUAUACAAACUCUGUGUAUUUUUCAUACUGCUGUUAGAAAAAACACACAAAUUCCUCCUCCAGCAUGUAAGCAAAUUCAAGUUCAUUUAGGAGUUUAGGUAGAAAAAAAGACUUCUGGUCUCGGUAACACAGCUACAAAAGCACU